This 465-nucleotide ribosomal RNA is filed under the name Vreelandella stevensii. RNAcentral's name for it is "partial 16S ribosomal RNA". It matches the Rfam family "Bacterial small subunit ribosomal RNA", at positions 338 to 795 of the family's 1533-position model. Lineage: Bacteria; Pseudomonadati; Pseudomonadota; Gammaproteobacteria; Oceanospirillales; Halomonadaceae. The record is from RNAcentral.
CCUACGGGUGGCUGCAGUGGGGAAUAUUGGACAAUGGGCGAAAGCCUGAUCCAGCCAUGCCGCGUGUGUGAAGAAGGCCUUCGGGUUGUAAAGCACUUUCAGUGGGGAAGAAAGCCUUGGGGCUAAUACCCUCGAGGAAGGACAUCACCCACAGAAGAAGCACCGGCUAACUCCGUGCCAGCAGCCGCGGUAAUACGGAGGGUGCGAGCGUUAAUCGGAAUUACUGGGCGUAAAGCGCGCGUAGGCGGUCUGAUAAGCCGGUUGUGAAAGCCCCGGGCUCAACCUGGGAACGGCAUCCGGAACUGUCAGGCUAGAGUGCAGGAGAGGAAGGUAGAAUUCCCGGUGUAGCGGUGAAAUGCGUAGAGAUCGGGAGGAAUACCAGUGACGAAGGCGGCCUUCUGGACUGACACUGACGCUGAGGUGCGAAAGCGUGGGUAGCAAACAGGAUUAGAUACCCCGGUAGUC